GUGUCAGCCGCCGCGGUAAUACGUAGGAGGCAAACGUUGUCCGGAUUUACUGGGUGUAAAGGGUGCUCAGGCGGUUUUGUUAGUCAGGGGUGAAAUCCCGGAGCUUAACUCCGGAACUGCCUUUGAUACUGCAAGGCUUGAGUGCAGAAGAGGCGGAUGGAAUUUCUGGUGUAGCAGUGAAAUGCGUAGAUAUCAGAAAGAACACCAGUGGCGAAGGCGGUCCGCUGGUCUGUCACUGACGCUAAAGCACGAAAGCGUGGGGAGCAAACAGGAUUAGAAACCCGUGUAGUCC
Molecule: ribosomal RNA, 292 nt
Filed under: uncultured bacterium
Lineage: Bacteria
Description: partial 16S ribosomal RNA
Rfam family: Bacterial small subunit ribosomal RNA
Source: RNAcentral